CCCAGCCAAAUGAGUUGUCCAGCAGGCCGGGGGACAGGAAUCGGUGAGGGGCCGAACAGCAUACGCCUACGUGAUACUAGCUGUAUCACGGACCGUAUUUCAAAACAUAGGCCUGCCACACAGCUGGACUGAGGUGACUGAUACGCAAUCCCAAGGCCCAUUCCAACGCACAAGAUUGCGGCGUGCCUGUAGGCCGGCCUCCAAAAGCCCGCACCCCUUCUAAAGCGAGUAUACAAGGAGUAAGAAAGGCGUGAUGGGAAUCCAAAGGGAAACAAACGAGGGUGAUUGAAACUGCAGUUGGACGGCGUUCAGGGUCACACAUACACAUGAUUUUUUAUUUGCUAUUUGAAACUGUAGUUUGAAACCGAAUCUCUUUUGCUAUUUGAAACUGCAGUUUUUUUAAGGGCCACACAUACACAUGAUUGCGACUGACCAAUUUUGUGUGUCCUUUUCAUGCCCAGAGUAUUGCAGGUUGCACUGCUCGCUUGAACCAGCAUUACCUUCGAAACCGAAUCGAGUUAACAGUAGAUCCAAAAUGUUUUUUCUGUCAUUUGGUUUGUCAAAAUGGUGUUUGUUCACACACUGUCGGAUGCUUAGUUAAGUUAAAACAAUAAUGUUGUAUGAGUAUAAGUAAUAAUACUAAUGCGCUUUCACUCAUGCUACGACCCCAGUAACAACUCUCUGAGAUGGUUGUGCUCAAAUUUAUAGUUCCUGGUUAAUGUUUUUUAUCUUUUUACUUUAUGUUGGUUUGUUUCUUUCAGUUUGUAAGUGCCCUUGGAAUCCUGUUCACUGUUGGAAACUGCUGGACCUUGCUGUUGUUGAUUGGUUCAUAAGGUAAACUACGCCCUGCUUUAUUUUUCGUUACUUGUUAUGUGUUGAUAUCUAUUAUUCUUCAUCUAAUAUCCAUUUUUUCCCUUUGUUUGGUGUGUGUUGGUGGUUUUGGGGUUGUUCCUUAAUCAUUACAACCAAGGCAUAUUAGAAUUUCUUUGAAAAUAUCCUAUACUUUGAAGUAGUUGUGCUCAUCACAUAGCUUAGUUUAAUUUGUUGUGAUGAUUUGUGCUUCCUGUGAGAGUAAUACUGAAGCUUAACUUCAUGAGAGAAAGGAAAACGCUUGGGAAUUUAAAAGUUUAGAUGAGCUUUCUGUGGUUAUUCCUGGUGCCAUUGCCGAUGUAAGCUUCGCCGGCUCUUUAUAUUUUUAUGAGCAUGAUGUAUGUGCUUUCUGUGAGAGUAAGGUAGUAAUACAACACAAGAUGAUGUUGCCUGCCGCUGCGUAUCCGCUGUUUGGGAGUGAGGUGGUAAAAACUCCAUAUUUCCGACAUCAGAAGGAAAUCAUAAAAAGAGUAUACAUGCACUUGCUCGACUAACAAAGCUGGUACCUAAGAGCAGGUCUGGUUCAUGCUUUAGGGAGGUUAAAUAAAUUUCAGUCAGACGCAAAGUAAUUUCUAGCAUUGUUGCAUUUGACCAUCAGUAGAUCAUCAUAUAUAACAGGACUAUAGAACAAAGUACAGAAAAUCAUAACUUUUAGAACUGAUUGUAUUUCUGAUUCGGUGGCUUCGCUACCGUUUUAGCUUAAUGACAUCUUCCAGUUCCCAGCUAUGCAAGUCUAAUAUAUUUGCAUAUGUUAGGUAUAACACACGUAUGACCCUAUUUUGAUACGCUAUCCCACUUAUGCAUGUUAGCAAUUUUUUGGAAGUUAGGUCAUUAGAGUUACCAAUCUGUCUUGAUUCUGUAAGAUUCAUGGAUCGAUUUGAGCCGGUGAGCCACUUGCACUUCUUGAAGCUACUAACAAACCAGCAAAGGUACACAUCCCUACAAACCAGAUUGAUCUUAAGACACUGGCUGAGCCCUGUGCGUUGAGAGCGUACCAGUUUUGCUUGAAGGUUUCAGAUGCACUGUCGUCAUAAAAUAUGGUCCCUGGGGAGUCAUGGAGGUUUGUUUCCUGCAAUAGACGUGGCAAAAAAUAUCUGCCACAUGGAGAUGGCUGCUGCUGCACUGCAUGUGGAUACAGAGGAAAGAAGUUCAGGCAAAAUUCCGUUAGGCUUUGCUCUACUCUUAGUUACCAUGAGAUUUCAUCAAUCGCUCUACAUGGUGUCGUGCUUACUCUCGACAUGCAAUGGAUUCAAGCGUGUGUAGGGAGCUUUCCUCAACCACAUAGCGACAAAUGCACGAGCCUUACGGUCUAUGGUGUCACCGGCAUGCAAGUUGCUAAUCUCCAUUGGAUCGCUGCGUGGGGUUGCACAUAGUGGUUGUGGCAAGUGGCAUUGACAGAUACAGGUGAAUUUUGCUGCGAUUUACGUCUGUUCAUCCAAAGGAAGUAGAUGAUUGAUAGAGAUUCAGAGGGAGCAAUUGAUAUAGAUAGUUGUUGUGGUUCCUAUUUCUUCAGAUUAUGUUUCUAUUGCUAUUGUGGCCUGAGGUCCAUCCCCCGUCGCCCCUCCUCUCAAGCCGCUACGGUGGCCUAUAUGUUUUAGUGGGUUCCGUCACGCCGGGCUGCCCCAGGCCCUGACCUAGGGUUUGGUGGGCGAGCUCACUACCAUCCUCCCGGUGGUCUUCUUCCUCGCUUGAUUCUUGGGCGCCCCAUCUAUUCUGGACGAGCACCUUCCAUUGGUGGGUGAGGAGAUCUGGCAUGAACCACGCGCCGAGAGGAUCUCAACUUCUGCUGCCUCUGCACGCCCUAGGCCUAAUCUCACCAAACUUUGCUACACUUCACAUCAUGAGGGAAGGAGGGUAAAUGCGUCCAUCGCAAUAUCAAGCAAAUCAGAUGACAAGGUGUUUGGAGCAAGCUACUCAUAGCCAACUACAUAGUUUAGUACAAUGCUGUAUUGAAGCAGUGUAAAUAAAUAACUUGUAUGGCCUGCUUUUGGUAUAUAGUACGGAACCUUGAUCUUUAGGUAUUUCAUGCUACAAUUGUUAACAAAUGCACCGAUGGUCUGUAACGAGAUUUGAUGUUUUGAAUUGGACCAUUACUGUUGUAAGUAAAUAUUAUCUUAUGCUUUUUGAGUAA
Non-coding RNA from Triticum urartu, 3001 nucleotides. The record is from RefSeq and is a predicted model, not a curated record. NCBI's taxonomy places the organism in Eukaryota, Viridiplantae, Streptophyta, Magnoliopsida, Poales, Poaceae.